Molecule: ribosomal RNA, 449 nt
Filed under: uncultured bacterium
Lineage: Bacteria
Description: partial 16S ribosomal RNA
Rfam family: Bacterial small subunit ribosomal RNA
Source: RNAcentral
AACGAACGCUGGCGGCAUGCCUAACACAUGCAAGUCGAACGAACCCUUCGGAGUUAGUGGCGCACGGGUGCGUAACACGUGGGAAUCUGCCCUUUGCUUCGGAAUAACAGUUAGAAAUGACUGCUAAUACCGGAUGAUGUCGCAAGACCAAAGAUUUAUCGGCAAAGGAUGAGCCCGCGUAGGAUUAGCUAGUUGGUGGGGUAAAGGCCUACCAAGGCGACGAUCCUUAGCUGGUCUGAGAGGAUGAUCAGCCACACUGGGACUGAGACACGGCCCAGACUCCUACGGGAGGCAGCAGUGGGGAAUAUUGGACAAUGGGCGAAAACCUGAUCCAGCAAUGCCGCGUGAGUGAUGAAGGCCUUCGGGUUGUAAAGCUCUUUUACCAGGGGUGAUAAUGACAGUACCUGGAGAAUAAGCUCCGGCUAACUCCGUGCCAGCAGCCGCCGCCG